GCCACGGGCGCCGCGGCCGGUGAGGCGGCCGGGCUCAGCACCCCGUCGCGCUCCAGGUGGGCGCGGGCCGCCCCGAUCGCCUCGGGGGUGGUGGCG
Molecule: transfer RNA, 96 nt
Filed under: Streptomyces griseorubens
Lineage: Bacteria; Bacillati; Actinomycetota; Actinomycetes; Kitasatosporales; Streptomycetaceae
Description: tRNA-Leu
Source: RNAcentral